AGCAGCCGCGGUAAUUCCAGCUCCAAUAGCGUAUAUUAAAGUUGUUGCAGUUAAAAAGCUCGUAGUUGAAUUUCGGGAUCAAUGCGUCGGUCGUGCCUUCGGUACGUACUAGCGUCAUUGAUUCCUCCCUUCUGAAGAACCGUGAUGUCAUUAAUUUGGUGUUACGGGAAAUCAGGACUGUUACCUUGAAAAAUUAGAGUGUUUAAAGCAGGCUAACGCUUGAAUACAUUAGCAUGGAAUAAUGAAAUAGGACGUUCGAACCUAUUUUGUUGGUUUCUAGGAUCGACGUAAUGAUUAAUAGGGAUAGUUGGGGGCAUUAGUAUUCAAUUGUCAGAGGUGAAAUUCUUGGAUUUAUUGAAGACUAACUACUGCGAAAGCAUUUGCCAAGGAUGUUUUCAUUAAUCAAGAACGAAAGUUAGGGGAUCGAAGACGAUCAGAUACCGUCGUAGU
RNAcentral lists this ribosomal RNA (450 nucleotides) under uncultured Glomus. Its description in RNAcentral is "SSU rRNA". It matches the Rfam family "Eukaryotic small subunit ribosomal RNA", at positions 569 to 1024 of the family's 1831-position model. The record is from RNAcentral. Lineage: Eukaryota; Fungi; Glomeromycota; Glomeromycetes; Glomerales; Glomeraceae.